UCCAUUAGUUUCACACACUUUCAUCAUCCAACAAUCACGAUUCUCCACCCAAACUCAACUCUGAAGAAUAUGAAUAAAUUGGUCCAAAAAAACAGUAUAAUCCCUUCUGUUCUUCAAAUGAUUUGAGGUAUGUAGAACCAUUCCUUCUAAUAUUCGUUGAGUUUUAUUAUUUAUCCCAAUUUAAAUAAAUCUCAAGAUUUUUAGAGUUGAAUAAAUCUUCAUCUUUUUCAAUUAAGUUAGUCUGUCAAUAGGUUUAUGAAACAUGAAUCUAGAAAAAAACAAACAUAUUUCUGAGAAAAUCUUGAAAAUCACUCUAAUCCGUGAAUACUCUUCAUUUUUUGUAAGUUAUUUUUUUUAAAAAAAAUAAUGUCAUUCCUUAUAUUUGACAUUAUUUACAACUAAAAUUUGGUCAAGUGUUAUUUAUUGUUUUAGUGCGUGGAUGAUAUAAUAGAUUCGUAUAAUUUCUCUUUUGAUGUGAACAUAAUUAAUAGGUCAAGAUAUAAUAUACUUGUUGACCUCUUUUGAGAUUAUUACUAAACAAAUUUUUAAAGACGAAUUUUUAAGUAACUCAUAUGUGCUCGCUUCAAAAUAUUCACUUUCGAGACACUAUACCUAUAUAUUAGGUUUAUUCUUACUUGCAAAAACUAAACUCAUAUCUUAGUUAUAGGUUCAUCCGUAUUAUUUGAGUUGAAUUUUAGUUAAAGUCAGGUUAUUAAUUUUUUACAUAUAUUAAUGCCUUUUUAUAAUGGUAGUGAACCUAUAAUUUCUUAUAAAUCAGCUUGAUGUGUGGCAAACACAAAACACAUAUAAAAUAAGCUUGUGUUGCAUCAAAUUUUGUAUUGAAAGAUAUCGUCUCUACGGAGACUGGUUUGAACAAUGUUCACAUAAUUCUUGGCUUCACAUUGUCCGGGAAAAUUAAUUGUCAACAACUACAAUUAAUCACGGGAAAAUUAUGUCGUGCAACAGCAUUAAUUACCAACGGGAGGAGUAGCGACAAUUGACAAGACAAGUGCAAUAUAAUUAUCCGAUUCAAUAGUAAAUAAUUUUAUUCUCAAAGUUAAGAUUCUAAUUUUGAAUGGACUAACAGAAUGAGAAUGUAGUCAAGAAAAAAUUCAUGGUUUUAGCCUCAAGAAAUAUAUAUGAUACAUAUUUUUCUAUCUUUGUUUAAUCAAUAUUUACAUAAGCUCUUCUGAUUAAUUUGGUUCUCCCUUUGUCAUUUGAUGUUUGUUAGUCUAUGUACAUCGAAGGAGCUUUAUUUAUGGUUAGAAGGGAGGACUGGGUCGUUGAAGAUAGAUUGGAAGCCCAACAAAAGAGCCAAUAUUUUCCUCUGGUAGUUUUUUAAUGCCAUGACUCUUGCUAUAACGACCCAAUCCUAGGACCAAGAUGUAACGGGUAUCCCAGGCCAAUGAAGACCUGAGCGACUCCUUAGCGUAACAUCAUGAGCAUUUCAUUUUUAAUAUGGAAAAAAACAUUUGCAUAAAGAAUAUCCCAUUAAGAAAAUCCAUUUAAAACAUAUUGAAGUUUAUACACGUUUAAAAUAAAAUAUUUAGCCCAUAUCUACAAAAUUCUACGAAGGCUCUAACAUACUAAUGAAAAACUGAAGUCGGGACAUGAUCCUGAUAAUAUCAUAAAACUAAUAAUAAUCACUUUUUAACUUUAUUGAUGGACUAAGUAGUUUCAUAAAUCUUAGGCAACCCAUGAGGUAUAUGGGUCCAGUCUUUGCUCAAUCAGUGAGGACUCAAUCCAUGUUUGCAUGAUGAAUCGAGUUGAACAUCAUUCGGCCAUCAUAUCAUACCGGCCUCAUAAAGGAAGUGUAAAUAAGGUUGUCCUGCUAGUUAUAGAACCACCCCUAUGUUAGUAAAACAUAGGUUUUUGGCUUUGGUCACUAGGACUUACACCUUCUCGGUGAACUACAUAAUCCUCUUUAAGCCCAAUUAGAAUAUCUUUCUGUAAAACCCCGUAUUUCGAGCUUGAAUGAAAACUGUCAUUUCUAUGCAUAGAUGAUCCAAAAGCCAUAAAUCCUAUGAAAAUUUUACAUGUUAAUCAAUUAUGUGGUGUGGAAAAUUGAAUGAGCUUUCCAUCGAUCUAAGAUUUGCCCAAAUCCGAUACCCACAUAAGAUGUUAUAGCUAAUUUUAGUCCUAGUCUAAAAACACCAUCAAUUUGGUACUUGGCGCAUCGCAGAGGUGGUCUAUUUAACAAUUGUCAAAUUCCAGUAGCCUAGCGAGAUAGUGGUGUAUGGCGUUGAAGUUCCAGGUCCCAACCAGUGGGAAAAAAUGAUGGCUCCGCAUCACAAUAACCCCAAGAAUCCCAUUGGUCAUUUUUUAGUGUGCCACCGUGAUAGUGGCCCGUCACGGUGGACCAUAAAAUUAGGCUCCUAGUUAUAUUUUAUUCUGUCUCAUUACGGGUAUGUUGGAUAAUUUUCACCCCCUUAUCAGCUUAAACAUGGGAUUUUUCUCCCAAGUGACCACAUUAUUCAUUUUUUUCUUCAAAAAUUUACAAGAAACUCUCUUAAGGGUUUCAAUCUAAAAACACAAAUAUCCUAAGAUUUCACCGUGGGUUUUCAAUAAUUCUUUGAGAUUCGGAAUACUCAUUACGAGGCUUACAAGAAGCACCCAUCAAUUUUUCGAAUAGCAUCCCUACAGUACAAGUUCAUUAAAAAGUCAUAAAUUAAGGUACGCGGGAUUUUCCUAAAAUCUCAUGGGCAUAGAAACUAUGAUUUUAAGAAUUGGGUUUUAAAUUUAUGAAUACAAUCAUGUUAUAGAAGUUUUGACGGUAUUGUUUUGGUUUUUAGACCUUCCCCCAAAAAUUGGAAAUUGUAUAUAUAUGUAAGCAUGCGUUUUAAAGAUUGAUGAUUGAAUUGAGAGAAUGACUCAUGAAAAAUUCCUCUCUUGUUAUGAUUUUCCUUUACUCAUGAUACACUAUGGAUUAUUUUGAAAUACAUCUUGAAAAGCAUGAUACGAAAUGUCUUGAAUUAUACUAUGACUUGAAUAUGAUUUUGAAAUAAAAAGAGAGGGGUAUGCAUGUUGAUAAAUGCUGAAUAUACAUAUAAUAAAAGAGUGCAUGGUUUUUCCAAAAGCACGUGACCACCAUAUGUUUGAAGAAUUCUUGCAUAAUUUUGACUUAUGUUUCGGAACAUUAAAUCAUCUCAUACUAUUGCAAAUAUUGGGUGGUAUGAAUUGAAUUUUAAUGAAAGAAUUAUGCUUAAUGCAUUAUCGCUCAGAAUCAUAACUUGCAAGACUUGGUAUGAUGAUACCAAAAUAGACAAUGCCAUAACAGACCCAAACAAACAUAGAAACCAAAUUUUCAUGACUUAAGGAUUUUAGGAUGAUAUAUGUUUAGAAAUGGAUAAAAUUAGGAAUAAAGAGAUAUGAGGUGGUCCCUCGAAAAAGAUACGAGUUCAGAAAACUCACUGCCCAAAAUAGUGAUUUGCUGAUCUGGUUAUAUUAUAUUAUGUUGGUCUAGUGCCCUGUGGUGUAUUAGACUCAGACACUCUAACUCUUGCCACAUACUUGGGUUGAGGGCUUUCCCACCGAGUCAAUGGUGGACUCCAUAUAGCCCGUGGGGUUUUAGACUUGUAGGGGCAUACCAUCUAACUCAUAAGUAAUACGAAGAUCAGAAAUUUUAUUGACAGAAAGGUUUUUAUGAUUAUCAAAAUGAUGCUCAUGUGUUUUGAAAACUAUUUUAUGUAUGAUGUUUGGACAAAUUGCUCUCUGUUAUUUUAUUUAUAUAAAAGAUUUAUUUUGGAUUACUUUGUCUACCAGUACAUCUGUAUUGACCCCCUACCUCCCAGGUUUGGAGGCUCUGUCUAAGGGUCCGGCUAAUCAGUGGAGUAUUCUAGCGAGAUGUGAUCCGUGAAGUGGUGAGCCUUCUUUGUUUCAGAAGGCUUGUUAUUUUAGAUUAUGUUAUUCUAUUGUUUUGGUCUACUAGGGGCCUUAUCCCAGCUUUUCAGAUAGUUAUCUUUAGAUCAUGUAGUAGAGAUUUCCCAGACUGAGUAAGAUCUUACUCAGAUGUUUUGAAUUGCAUCUUUCUUUCUUAUGUCUUGAAACCCAGAGUUAAUGACCAGGUUUUUGUAUUAGAUUAUGUUUUUGUAUUUUCUUUUAUGAUAUAAAUAUUGUGCAUGAUUACCAGAUCAGAUAGAGUAGGACAUCUGGG
This 4153-nucleotide long non-coding RNA is filed under the name Capsicum annuum. RNAcentral describes it as "long non-coding RNA (CANN_LNC015652)". The record is from RNAcentral. Lineage: Eukaryota; Viridiplantae; Streptophyta; Magnoliopsida; Solanales; Solanaceae.